This 2900-nucleotide ribosomal RNA is filed under the name Escherichia coli. Its description in RNAcentral is "23S ribosomal RNA". It matches the Rfam family "Bacterial large subunit ribosomal RNA". Lineage: Bacteria; Pseudomonadati; Pseudomonadota; Gammaproteobacteria; Enterobacterales; Enterobacteriaceae. The record is from RNAcentral.
GGUUAAGCGACUAAGCGUACACGGUGGAUGCCCUGGCAGUCAGAGGCGAUGAAGGACGUGCUAAUCUGCGAUAAGCGUCGGUAAGGUGAUAUGAACCGUUAUAACCGGCGAUUUCCGAAUGGGGAAACCCAGUGUGUUUCGACACACUAUCAUUAACUGAAUCCAUAGGUUAAUGAGGCGAACCGGGGAACUGAAACAUCUAAGUACCCCGAGGAAAAGAAAUCAACCGAGAUUCCCCCAGUAGCGGCGAGCGAACGGGGAGCAGCCCAGAGCCUGAAUCAGUGUGUGUGUUAGUGGAAGCGUCUGGAAAGGCGCGCGAUACAGGGUGACAGCCCCGUACACAAAAAUGCACAUACUGUGAGCUCGAUGAGUAGGGCGGGACACGUGGUAUCCUGUCUGAAUAUGGGGGACCAUCCUCCAAGGCUAAAUACUCCUGACUGACCGAUAGUGAACCAGUACCGUGAGGGAAAGGCGAAAAGAACCCCGGCGAGGGGAGUGAAAAAGAACCUGAAACCGUGUACGUACAAGCAGUGGGAGCCUCUUUAUGGGGUGACUGCGUACCUUUGUAUAAUGGGUCAGCGACUUAUAUUCUGUAGCAAGGUUAACCGAAUAGGGGAGCCGAAGGGAAACCGAGUCUUAACUGGGCGUUAAGUUGCAGGGUAUAGACCCGAAACCCGGUGAUCUAGCCAUGGGCAGGUUGAAGGUUGGGUAACACUAACUGGAGGACCGAACCGACUAAUGUUGAAAAAUUAGCGGAUGACUUGUGGCUGGGGGUGAAAGGCCAAUCAAACCGGGAGAUAGCUGGUUCUCCCCGAAAGCUAUUUAGGUAGCGCCUCGUGAAUUCAUCUCCGGGGGUAGAGCACUGUUUCGGCAAGGGGGUCAUCCUGACUUACCAACCCGAUGCAAACUGCGAAUACCGGAGAAUGUUAUCACGGGAGACACACGGCGGGUGCUAACGUCCGUCGUGAAGAGGGAAACAACCCAGACCGCCAGCUAAGGUCCCAAAGUCAUGGUUAAGUGGGAAACGAUGUGGGAAGGCCCAGACAGCCAGGAUGUUGGCUUAGAAGCAGCCAUCAUUUAAAGAAAGCGUAAUAGCUCACUGGUCGAGUCGGCCUGCGCGGAAGAUGUAACGGGGCUAAACCAUGCACCGAAGCUGCGGCAGCGACGCUUAUGCGUUGUUGGGUAGGGGAGCGUUCUGUAAGCCUGUGAAGGUGUGCUGUGAGGCAUGCUGGAGGUAUCAGAAGUGCGAAUGCUGACAUAAGUAACGAUAAAGCGGGUGAAAAGCCCGCUCGCCGGAAGACCAAGGGUUCCUGUCCAACGUUAAUCGGGGCAGGGUGAGUCGACCCCUAAGGCGAGGCCGAAAGGCGUAGUCGAUGGGAAACAGGUUAAUAUUCCUGUACUUGGUGUUACUGCGAAGGGGGACGGAGAAGGCUAUGUUGGUAGGGCGACGGUUGUCCCGGUUUAAGCGUGUAGGCUGGUUUUCCAGGCAAAUCCGGAAAAUCAAGGCUGAGGCGUGAUGACGAGGCACUACGGUGCUGAAGCAACAAAUGCCCUGCUUCCAGGAAAAGCCUCUAAGCAUCAGGUAACAUCAAAUCGUACCCCAAACCGACACAGGUGGUCAGGUAGAGAAUACCAAGGCGCUUGAGAGAACUCGGGUGAAGGAACUAGGCAAAAUGGUGCCGUAACUUCGGGAGAAGGCACGCUGAUAUGUAGGUGAAGCGACUUGCUCGUGGAGCUGAAAUCAGUCGAAGAUACCAGCUGGCUGCAACUGUUUAUUAAAAACACAGCACUGUGCAAACACGAAAGUGGACGUAUACGGUGUGACGCCUGCCCGGUGCCGGAAGGUUAAUUGAUGGGGUCAGCGCAAGCGAAGCUCUUGAUCGAAGCCCCGGUAAACGGCGGUACGUAACUAUAACGGUCCUAAGGUAGCGAAAUUCCUUGUCGGGUAAGUUCCGACCUGCACGAAUGGCGUAAUGAUGGUACAGGCUGUCUCCACCCGAGACUCAGUGAAAUUGAACUCGCUGUGAAGAUGCAGUGUACCCGCGGCAAGACGGAAAGACCCCGUGAACCUUUACUAUAGCUUGACACUGAACAUUGAGCCUUGAUGUGUAGGAUAGGUGGGAGGCUUUGAAGUGUGGACGCCAGUCUGCAUGGAGCCGACCUUGAAAUACCACCCUUUAAUGUUUGAUGUUCUAACGUUGACCCGUAAUCCGGGUUGCGGACAGUGUCUGGUGGGUAGUUUGACUGGGGCGGUCUCCUCCUAAAGAGUAACGGAGGAGCACGAAGGUUGGCUAAUCCUGGUCGGACAUCAGGAGGUUAGUGCAAUGGCAUAAGCCAGCUUGACUGCGAGCGUGACGGCGCGAGCAGGUGCGAAAGCAGGUCAUAGUGAUCCGGUGGUUCUGAAUGGAAGGGCCAUCGCUCAACGGAUAAAAGGUACUCCGGGGAUAACAGGCUGAUACCGCCCAAGAGUUCAUAUCGACGGCGGUGUUUGGCACCUCGAUGUCGGCUCAUCACAUCCUGGGGCUGAAGUAGGUCCCAAGGGUAUGGCUGUUCGCCAUUUAAAGUGGUACGCGAGCUGGGUUUAGAACGUCGUGAGACAGUUCGGUCCCUAUCUGCCGUGGGCGCUGGAGAACUGAGGGGGCUGCUCCUAGUACGAGAGGACCGGAGUGGACGCAUCACUGGUGUUCGGGUUGUCAUGCCAAUGGCACUGCCCGGUAGCUAAAUGCGGAAGAGAUAAGUGCUGAAAGCAUCUAAGCACGAAACUUGCCCCGAGAUGAGUUCUCCCUGACUCCUUGAGAGUCCUGAAGGAACGUUGAAGACGACGACGUUGAUAGGCCGGGUGUGUAAGCGCAGCGAUGCGUUGAGCUAACCGGUACUAAUGAACCGUGAGGCUUAACCUU